UUUCCGUAGGUGAACCUGCGGAAGGAUCAUUGCGAAACGUUGAGGGGAGAAUGUUGGAAUGCGGGGAGAGAUAUCACGUGACAACAAUUACCAAACAUACAUAACUAGCCACCUUGGAUCUCUGGGCUCUU
RNAcentral lists this unclassified non-coding RNA (131 nucleotides) under soil metagenome. RNAcentral describes it as "partial contains small subunit ribosomal RNA and internal transcribed spacer 1". The record is from RNAcentral.